GAUUACUGGGCGUAAGCGCGCGUAGGCGGUUUGUUAAGUGAGAUGUGAAAGCCCCGGGCUCAACCUUGGAACUGCAUCUCAUACUGGCAGGCUAGAGUACGGUAGAGGGGGGUAGAAUUCCA
RNAcentral lists this ribosomal RNA (122 nucleotides) under uncultured beta proteobacterium. Its description in RNAcentral is "partial 16S ribosomal RNA". It matches the Rfam family "Bacterial small subunit ribosomal RNA", at positions 550 to 671 of the family's 1533-position model. The record is from RNAcentral. Lineage: Bacteria; Pseudomonadati; Pseudomonadota; Betaproteobacteria.